UACGAAGGGGGCUAGCGUUGCUCGGAUUGACUGGGCGUAAAGGGCGCGUAGGCGGUUCGUACAGUCAGACGUGAAAUUCCUGGGCUCAACCUGGGGGCUGCGUUUGAUACGUGCGGGCUUGAGUGCGGAAGAGGGUCGUGGAAUUCCCAGUGUAGAGGUGAAAUUCGUAGAUAUUGGGAAGAACACCGGUGGCGAAGGCGGCGACCUGGUCCGAUACUGACGCUGAGGCGCGAAAGCGUGGGGAGCAAACAGG
This 253-nucleotide ribosomal RNA is filed under the name uncultured bacterium. RNAcentral describes it as "partial 16S ribosomal RNA". It matches the Rfam family "Bacterial small subunit ribosomal RNA", at positions 524 to 776 of the family's 1533-position model. The record is from RNAcentral.